Molecule: long non-coding RNA, 245 nt
Organism: Brassica rapa (field mustard)
Lineage: Eukaryota; Viridiplantae; Streptophyta; Magnoliopsida; Brassicales; Brassicaceae
Source: RefSeq, a predicted model, not a curated record
GUCUGAAAUCUCUAGUUUGUCAAGCAAUGGGAGUUUCACGACUGCUUCGGCUAGUCCCUGCUUGUUAUUAGAUUGCACAUUGAAACUUUAAGGCUUCUAAGAUUUCUUGAACUGCAAAUAGUUGGGUGUAAAAGUUUAAUAACAUAAUCAAAGAUAGGAACAAGAGCGAUAAAAGAUGCUAAACAUUAUUACAAAAUAUAUUUUUUCCUAGCAUCCCAAUAACCUGAAGCUAACCAUUAAUGCUU